Molecule: ribosomal RNA, 432 nt
Filed under: uncultured bacterium
Lineage: Bacteria
Description: partial 16S ribosomal RNA
Rfam family: Bacterial small subunit ribosomal RNA
Source: RNAcentral
AGCGAACGCUGGCGGCAGGCCUAACACAUGCCAGUCGAACGAACUCUUCGGAGUUAGUGGCGGACGGGUGAGUAACACGUGGGAACGUGCCUUUUGGUUCGGAAUAACUCAGGGAAACUUGUGCUAAUACCGAAUGUGCCCUUCGGGGGAAAGAUUUAUCGCCAUUAGAGCGGCCCGCGUCUGAUUAGCUAGUUGGUGAGGUAACGGCUCACCAAGGCGACGAUCAGUAGCUGGUCUGAGAGGAUGACCAGCCACACUGGGACUGAGACACGGCCCAGACUCCUACGGGAGGCAGCAGUGGGGAAUCUUGCGCAAUGGGCGAAAGCCUGACGCAGCCAUGCCGCGUGAAUGAUGAAGGUCUUAGGAUUGUAAAAUUCUUUCACCGGGGACGAUAAUGACGGUACCCGGAGAAGAAGCCCCGGCGAACUGCGU